This 666-nucleotide ribosomal RNA is filed under the name uncultured Enterobacterales bacterium. RNAcentral's name for it is "bacterial SSU rRNA". It matches the Rfam family "Bacterial small subunit ribosomal RNA", at positions 67 to 722 of the family's 1533-position model. Lineage: Bacteria; Pseudomonadati; Pseudomonadota; Gammaproteobacteria; Enterobacterales. The record is from RNAcentral.
CGGUAACAGGAAGCAGCUUGCUGCUUCGCUGACGAGUGGCGGACGGGUGAGUAAUGUCUGGGAAACUGCCUGAUGGAGGGGGAUAACUACUGGAAACGGCAGCUAAUACCGCAUAACGUCGCAAGACCAAAGAGGGGGACCUUCGGGCCUCUUGCCAUCGGAUGUGCCCAGAUGGGAUUAGCUAGUAGGUGGGGUAACGGCUCACCUAGGCGACGAUCCCUAGCUGGUCUGAGAGGAUGACCAGCCACACUGGAACUGAGACACGGUCCAGACUCCUACGGGAGGCAGCAGUGGGGAAUAUUGCACAAUGGGCGCAAGCCUGAUGCAGCCAUGCCGCGUGUAUGAAGAAGGCCUUCGGGUUGUAAAGUACUUUCAGCGGGGAGGAAGGCGACAGGGUUAAUAAUCCUGUCGAUUGACGUUACCCGCAGAAGAAGCACCGGCUAACUCCGUGCCAGCAGCCGCGGUAAUACGGAGGGUGCAAGCGUUAAUCGGAAUUACUGGGCGUAAAGCGCACGCAGGCGGUCUGUCAAGUCGGAUGUGAAAUCCCCGGGCUCAACCUGGGAACUGCAUUCGAAACUGGCAGGCUAGAGUCUUGUAGAGGGGGGUAGAAUUCCAGGUGUAGCGGUGAAAUGCGUAGGGAUCUGGAGGAAUACCGGUGGCGAAGGC